UGGUAAAUUCGAGCUCUCUGGCAUUCCCCCUGCUCCCAGGGGUGUUCCACAAAUUACAGUGUGCUUCGACAUUGAUGCAAAUGGUAUCUUGAAUGUGUCUGCUGAGGACAAGACCACUGGCCAGAAGAACAAGAUCACCAUUACCAAUGACAAGGGAAGACUCUCGAAGGAGGAGAUCGAGAAGAUGGUUCAAGAGGCAGAAAAGUACAAGUCUGAGGAUGAAGAACACAAAAAGAAGGUUGAGGCUAAGAAUGCAUUGGAAAAUUACUCGUACAAUAUGAGGAACACAGUGAAGGAUGAGAAGAUUGGUGCCAAGCUUUCUCCAGCUGACAAGAAGAAAAUAGAAGAUGCAAUUGAGG
RNAcentral lists this long non-coding RNA (359 nucleotides) under Jatropha curcas. RNAcentral describes it as "long non-coding RNA (JCUR_LNC001590)". Lineage: Eukaryota; Viridiplantae; Streptophyta; Magnoliopsida; Malpighiales; Euphorbiaceae. The record is from RNAcentral.